CCUUUGUACACACCGCCCGUCGCUACUACCGAUUGAAUGGCUUAGUGAGGUCUUGGGACUGGCUCAGGGAGGUCGGCAACGACCACCCAGAGCCGGAAACUUGAACAAACUUGGUCAUUUAGAGG
RNAcentral lists this ribosomal RNA (125 nucleotides) under Orbiliaceae sp. Its description in RNAcentral is "partial small subunit ribosomal RNA". It matches the Rfam family "Eukaryotic small subunit ribosomal RNA", at positions 1657 to 1779 of the family's 1831-position model. Lineage: Eukaryota; Fungi; Ascomycota; Orbiliomycetes; Orbiliales; Orbiliaceae. The record is from RNAcentral.